CCUACGGGAGGCAGCAGUGAGGAAUAUUGGUCAAUGGCCGGAAGGCUGAACCAGCCAAGCCGCGUGAAGGACGAAGGUGCCAAGCAUUGUAAACUUCUUUUGUCAAGGGACAAAAUCAUGCUCGAGAGCCUGACCGAGGGUACUUGAAGAAACAGCAUCGGCUAACUCCGUGCCAGCAGCCGCGGUAAUACGGAGGAUGCGAGGGUUAUCCGGAUUUAUUGGGUUUAAAGGGUGCGUAGGCGGAAGGUUAAGUCAGCGGUAAAACCCCGGGGCUCAACCCCGGGGUGCCGGUGAAACUGGCGGUCUGGAGAUGUCGAGAGGUAUGCGGAAUGCGCAGUGUAGCGGUGAAAUGCUUAGAUAUUGCGCAGAACUCCGAUUGCGAAGGCAGCAUACCGGCGGCGAGCUGACGCUGAGGCACGGAAGCGUGGGGAUCGAACAGGAUUAGAUACCCGAGUAGUC
This 459-nucleotide ribosomal RNA is filed under the name uncultured bacterium. RNAcentral describes it as "partial 16S ribosomal RNA". It matches the Rfam family "Bacterial small subunit ribosomal RNA", at positions 338 to 795 of the family's 1533-position model. The record is from RNAcentral.